GGUGAAUACAGACUGCCGACCUCGUCUAAUGAUUCUUGUUGAAUAUCUAACUGGUCAUCCAUUUUAUUAAGGAAAUAAUUCACUAAAUAAUUACCCUUGGAGUGAAGAAAUGCUACUGAGCAAAAAGAAUUUAAAUGGGCGAAAAAUUUAGCACGAUCACCGUGACAGCCAAGACAAGAGUGGCCUUCUAAGUUUAAGUGCCGCAACUUAUUUAAAUACUUUCCCCGGCGCCCGCGUUCGCGCACGCGCGAUACUUAAAUAAAAAUUGUUCUUCCAAAGAAUUGUAAGUAUAUAAGUACAUCAAUAUCAAUAUAUUUUUCACCUACCUGUGAGAGUUAAGAUACAACUACAUCGCUACCUAUCAUUGGACACCAUUUGUAAACAUCCUCCCGAUCGUGGCCCUCACCAUCGCUCUUGCAGGGACGCGACAGGACCUCGCCAGCGAUUAUGACCUUCCGGAAUCUUGCUGGUCAAGAGUUAGACGACAUAAAUCAACCAAUAUGUAUAUAUUUAUUUAUUUAUUUAUUUAUUUAUUUAUUUAUUUACUGAGUUGUUAUAAUACAGGAUAUAUUAAACAAUCGGGAAAAGAAUUACGCUAAAAUUCAAGGACUAUUGAUUAAGGAUUAUAUUCACUUGAUAUAUUAAACAAUCAUCGGGAAAAGGAUUACGCAGAAAUUCAAGGACUAUUGAUUAAUAGCAAUUGCAAGUACUAUUAUAAUUUAUAAAACAAUUUAAAUUAUAUUAACAAAAUAAAUUAUUUUUGAUUAACUUUAUAUUUAAGAGUUGAAUGAUAGGAAAAAAUUAACCCAAGUACGUGACCUCCAAAGCUACCCGACGCUCUUAUAGUAUCUCUCCGCGUUUCGUGUCGCAUCCGGACGCUGUAAGCAUAAUAAGAUAUGGGUCAAGUGCGGCUGGUAUCGUGUAAGGAGUCACUAUACUACUAGGUAGUAAAAAUAAGUGAAGAAUUUUUAAAAAAGAUGAA
Molecule: long non-coding RNA, 982 nt
Organism: Cotesia glomerata
Lineage: Eukaryota; Metazoa; Arthropoda; Insecta; Hymenoptera; Braconidae
Exons: 4
Source: RefSeq, a predicted model, not a curated record